This 442-nucleotide ribosomal RNA is filed under the name uncultured bacterium. RNAcentral describes it as "bacterial SSU rRNA". It matches the Rfam family "Bacterial small subunit ribosomal RNA", at positions 335 to 774 of the family's 1533-position model. The record is from RNAcentral.
ACUCCUACGGGAGGCAGCAGUAAGGAAUAUUGGACAAUGGACGCAAGUCUGAUCCAGCCAUGCCGCGUGAAGGAUUAAGGUCCUCUGGAUUGUAAACUUCUUUUAUAAGGGACGAAAAAAGGCUUUUCUAAGUCGUCUGACGGUACCUUAUGAAUAAGCACCGGCUAACUCCGUGCCAGCAGCCGCGGUAAUACGGAGGGUGCAAGCGUUAUCCGGAUUCACUGGGUUUAAAGGGUGCGUAGGCGGGCAGGUAAGUCAGUGGUGAAAUCCUAGAGCUUAACUCUAGAACUGCCAUUGAUACUAUCUGUCUUGAAUAUUGUGGAGGUAAGCGGAAUAUGUCAUGUAGCGGUGAAAUGCUUAGAUAUGACAUAGAACACCUAUUGCGAAGGCAGCUUACUACGCAUAUAUUGACGCUGAGGCACGAAAGCGUGGGGAUCAAACA